CAUCGGGGAUGUAGCUCAGAUGGUAGAGC
RNAcentral lists this small RNA (29 nucleotides) under Arabidopsis thaliana (thale cress). RNAcentral describes it as "ATSL004110". Lineage: Eukaryota; Viridiplantae; Streptophyta; Magnoliopsida; Brassicales; Brassicaceae. The record is from RNAcentral.